UACGUAGGGGGCUAGCGUUGUCCGGAUUUAUUGGGCGUAAAGCGCGUGUAGGCGGCCUGGUAGGUCCGUUGUGAAAACUCGAGGCUUAACCUCGAGAGGCCGACGGAAACCAUCUGGCUAGAGUCCGGAAGAGGAGAGUGGAAUUCCUGGUGUAGCGGUGAAAUGCGCAGAUAUCAGGAAGAACACCUAUGGCGAAGGCAGCUCUCUGGGACGGUACUGACGCUGAGACGCGAAAGCGUGGGGAGCGAACAGG
RNAcentral lists this unclassified non-coding RNA (253 nucleotides) under uncultured Gaiellales bacterium. RNAcentral describes it as "contains 16S-23S intergenic spacer region". It matches the Rfam family "Bacterial small subunit ribosomal RNA", at positions 524 to 776 of the family's 1533-position model. Lineage: Bacteria; Bacillati; Actinomycetota; Thermoleophilia; Gaiellales. The record is from RNAcentral.